This 306-nucleotide unclassified non-coding RNA is filed under the name Hevea brasiliensis (rubber tree). Lineage: Eukaryota; Viridiplantae; Streptophyta; Magnoliopsida; Malpighiales; Euphorbiaceae. The record is from RNAcentral.
AGGAGCAGUCUCAUCGCCGCUGAAACCUGAAGACAUACUUGGAUUGGGUAUUCGGUAACGGAGAUCAGAGAAUAAUUGCUGUAAUACUGUGCUUGAGCCUUGAUCUCUGUAGUUCCCGGUUUCCUUAUCUGGCUUUCAGAGAGCAGGGAAGAUCGGAUCAGCGAAGGAUGGUAUGAAUCACGUGAUUGAUUAUUCAUAAUCGUUUAUCGCCUUGCAAGAGGUAAAUAAGGCCAAAGGGAAAAAGAUAGGAAAUUUUUAUUCGCAUACGGCGUCGUUUUGUCUAAGCUUCCUACUAAGAGGAAUUUG